GACGAACGCUGGCGGCGUGCUUAACACAUGCAAGUCGAACGGAAAGGCCCUUCGGGUUCCUCGCGUGGCGAACGGGUGAGUAACACGUGGGUGAUCUGCCCUGCACUUUGGGAUACGCCUGGGACACUGGGUCUAAUACCGAAUAGGACCACGCGCUUCAUGGUGUGUGGUGGCAAGCUUUUGCGGUGUUGGAUGGGCCCGCGGGCUAUCAGCUUGUUGGUGGGGUAAUGGCCUACCAAGUCGACGACGGGUAGCCGGCCUGUGAGGGUGACCGGCCACACUGGGACUGAGAGACGGCCCAGACUCCUACGGGAGGCAGCAGGGGGGAAUAUUGCACAAUGGGCGCAAGCCUGAUGCAGCGACGCCGCGUGAGGGAUGACGGCCUUCGGGUUGUAAACCUCUUUCAAUAGGGACGAAGCGCAAGUGACGGUACCUAUAGAAGAAGCACCGGCCAACUACGUG
RNAcentral lists this ribosomal RNA (462 nucleotides) under uncultured bacterium. RNAcentral describes it as "partial 16S ribosomal RNA". It matches the Rfam family "Bacterial small subunit ribosomal RNA", at positions 28 to 507 of the family's 1533-position model. The record is from RNAcentral.